RNAcentral lists this ribosomal RNA (522 nucleotides) under uncultured Glomeraceae. RNAcentral's name for it is "SSU rRNA". It matches the Rfam family "Eukaryotic small subunit ribosomal RNA", at positions 569 to 1092 of the family's 1831-position model. Lineage: Eukaryota; Fungi; Glomeromycota; Glomeromycetes; Glomerales; Glomeraceae. The record is from RNAcentral.
AGCAGCCGCGGUAAUUCCAGCUCCAAUAGCGUAUAUUAAAGUUGUUGCAGUUAAAAAGCUCGUAGUUGAAUUUCGGGGUUAGUAGGUUGGUCAUGCCUCUGGUAUGUACUGGUCUCACUGAUUCCUCCUUCCUGAUGAGCCGUAAUGCCAUUAAUUUGGUGUUGCGGGGAAUUUGGACUGUUACUUUGAAAAAAUUAGAGUGUUUAAAGCAAGCUAACGCUUGAAUACAUUAGCAUGGAAUAAUGAAAUAGGACGUUCGAUCCUAUUUUGUUGGUUUCUAGGAUUGACGUAAUGAUUAAUAGGGAUAGUUGGGGGCAUUAGUAUUCGAUUGUCAGAGGUGAAAUUCUUGGAUUUAUUGAAGACUAACUACUGCGAAAGCAUUUGCCAAGGAUGUUUUCAUUAAUCAAGAACGAAAGUUAGGGGAUCGAAGACGAUCAGAUACCGUCGUAGUCUUAACCAUAAACUAUGCCGACUAGGGAUCGGAUGAUGUUAAUUUUUUAAUGACUCAUUCGGCGCCUUACG